GCGGUUGUAAGAUUUCUUGGUCUUGCUCAUGUUGAAGAUACUACCUCUUUGACACUAAAAGUUGCAAUUCAGAAAAUGCUUAUGGAAUACAAUUUGACCCUUGCAAUGGUUCAUGGGCAAGGAUAUGAUGGAACUAGUAAUAUGAGAGGUAAUGUUAAUGGCCUGAAAAAACUGAUUAUGGGUGAGUCUCCUUCUGCCUACUAUGUUCAUUGUUUUGCCCAUCCACUACAGUUAACUCUUGUUGCUGUUGCUAAGGAGAGUGGUGAUUGUACUUGGUUCUUUUAGCAGCUUGCACACUUGUUAAAUGCUCUUGGCAUGUCUUGUAAAAAGAUGAGAAUGCUUCGAAUAGCUCAGACUGAAGAACUCAUUGAUGCAUUGGAAUUGGAAGAGAGAAACAGGGAGUGGCCUGAUCAGGAAAUGGGUUUGGGAAGGUCAUGUGAUACACGUUGGGGCUCUCACUUCAAAACUGUGAACCAUGUCAUCUCUAUGUAUGGUGCACUACGACGAGUCCUUCGCAAGAUUGGAGACUAGUACCAUGGUGCGGAGGCACAAGCGGCUCUAUCCAUAGAGACAAUAUUUCGAUCAUUUGAGUUUGUUUUCAUGGCACACUUGAUCCAAGAAAUAUUUGGACACACAGAUGAGUUGUGUAGAGCUUUGCAAAAGCAAGACGAAGAUAUUGUUCAUGCUAUUAAGCUUGUUGGUGACACAAAGUAUUACUUGAAGGCUUUGAGGACCGAUGCUGGAUGUGAUGAUUUUAUCACAAAGGUCACAUCUUUUUGUACAAAGCAUAACAUCAAAGUUGUUGAUAUGGAGGGUCCUUACUUUCCCGUUAGCCGGCCUAAAAAGGGUUUAUGUAAUGGUGCGACCAAUUACCACCACUUCAAGGUUGAUAUGUUUGUGGAUUUCAUUGAUAGGCAAACCAGUGAGCUGAAUGGCAGAUUUGAUGAGGUAAACACGUAGCUACUUUCUUGCAUGGCAGCAUUCUGUCCACUUCAUCUAUUUGCUGCUUAUGACGAAGAGAAGUUGGUUAGGCUUGCUACAAAGUUUUAUGCUUCUGAUUUUACAAGGGAUGAACUGGCAAGACUUCCAUGGCAACUAAACAUGUAUGUUACUAAUGUGCGUAGAGAUAAAAGGUUUCAAAAUCUGAAAAAUCUGUGUCAGCUUUUAGUUAUGCUUGUUGAGACAAACAAGCAUGAACAAUAUCAAAUUGUUUACAAGCUUCUUAAGUUGGUAUUGAUUCUGCCGGUAGCUACUGCUGGUGUUGAAAGGGUAUUAUCUUCAAUGAGCUAUGUGAAGAAUAAGUGA
This 1305-nucleotide ribosomal RNA is filed under the name Triticum aestivum (bread wheat). Its description in RNAcentral is "partial small subunit ribosomal RNA". Lineage: Eukaryota; Viridiplantae; Streptophyta; Magnoliopsida; Poales; Poaceae. The record is from RNAcentral.